AUUGAACGCUAACGGCAUACUUAACACAUGCAAGUCGAACGGCAGCACAGUAGUAGCAAUACUAUGGGUGGCGAGUGGCGGACGGGUGAGUAAUACAUAGGAAUCUGCCUUAUAGUGGGGAUAACCCGGGGAAACUCGGGCUAAUACCGCAUAAUCUCUACGGAGCAAAGUGUGGGACCUUCGGGCCAUACGCUAAAAGAUGAGCCUAUGUCGGAUUAGCUAGUUGGUGGGGUAAAGGCCUACCAAGGCAACGAUCCGUAGCUGGUCUGAGCGGAUGAUCAGCCACGCUGGGACUGAGACACGGCCCAGACUCCUACGGGAGGAAGCAGUGGGGAAUAUUGGACAAUGGGCGAAAGCCUGAUCCAGCAAUGCCGUGUGUGUGAAGAAGGCCUUCGGGUUGUAAAGCACUUUUAGUUGGGAAGAAAAGUUCAUGGCUAAUAUCCGUGAAUGCUGACGUUACCAACAGAAAAAGCACUGGCUAACUCUGUGCCAGCCGCCGCAGUAA
Molecule: ribosomal RNA, 505 nt
Filed under: uncultured bacterium
Lineage: Bacteria
Description: partial 16S ribosomal RNA
Rfam family: Bacterial small subunit ribosomal RNA
Source: RNAcentral